GAAAUAACCAUUUUAUUCAUACCAGGUAGAAAUAUUACUUUGAUUUUUUAAAUGAUUGUUUGGUGACAUGUUCCAAGUUCAACUUAAACAUUUCCUGGGUGUUAUAAAUUAGUUCAUUCUCCUCUUGUCUCAAUGGGAAAUGAAACAUUUCCUAAGUCAGCCAUAUAAUACUAACCAGAAGCAGAGUUCUACGAGGCCCAGGCUCGAUGGGAAAGGAAANAUCUCCUGGAGAACGAGAGAAGAUGGUGGAAGAAGCUGCCAAAGCCAAGACUNCUAAGCUUGUCAGAAAAAUUGAACAUAAACUAUUUUUAGUAAGUAUCUAUAUAUUUCUAUAUGAUAGUAAUAGUACUUUGGUGCAACUACAAAUGCUGACUCUUAUGUGAUUAGUUUAAAGUUUCCCUCUAAUAGUGACAUAUUAGGUAAAGUGUAGAUGCCCCUUUUUCAAGCCUUCGUGGAAAACUCAUCCUCAUUGAAAUUUUAUUAGCCUCCCAUUAUACAUACUCACCAAAUUCUACAAAUGAAUUUAUGCUCAGAGACUUUUCCUUCUUGCAUUAACUCACGAAUUUCACCAACUUUUAGGAAUUUACUAAUUUACCAACUGAUAUUUUAUCUUCUCGUUUUUAAAACAGACAACACUCUGCUUCAAUCAAUGAAUUCAACACAAUCCUUCAAAAAGUUCAAAAAUGUCCAUUUCUUUGUCAACAUAUUUCUCUGGUUGAUGUUGGUGGUGGAACUGGAGCUAUAAUAAACAUGAUAGUCUCAAAAGUAUCCCAAUAUCAAGGGUAUUAAUUUUGAUUUACCCCAUGUCAUCGAAGAUGCCCCAUCAUAUCCAGGUACCCAUUUUUAAGUUGAGGAUGUUGUCCUCAUAUUUAUACUAGUUUUUCGAGCACUGUCACCAAUUAUUACCCGUUAAUUGUAUGCAUUAUGUAUUGAAUUAUAAUGUUUUAGCAAUGGUUUCCUGACAUCAAAUUUCACAUUGCUAUUUUUCUGUAGGAGUUUCCUGACAUCACUACAAGAAAAUUUUUAUAUUUUGUGGUGCUUCCCUAGCUUGCAUUGUGUUCAAUAUUGAUUAACUUGACCCUUGAAGUUGGCCUUGUGUUGCUGCUACCAUAACCCUGAACCUGUUGAGCUUAAUUAGAAGUAUUGGAUGUUGUCAUGUGGGUAAUGAGGGGUUAGUUUGCUUAUGUUUGUGUUAUUUUUCUUCACUGUUUGAAUGUGAAUAGGAAUGUAUGUUUUAUAUUGUAGGUUGGUUGUCUUGGUUGACAAUUAACUGUGAAGUAGGUGGUAUUUUGGUAUGAAUAUCUUAGUUGUAAUUCUCUGCAGUAUGUUUGAGUGCAAUUUAGAUGUGAUUAUGAAGCUAGAUGACUAUAUGAACUUACGAGAUUACUAGUGCAAGUUGGCUGAGAAAACAUCAAUUAAUCAG
This 1423-nucleotide long non-coding RNA is filed under the name Vigna radiata. RNAcentral describes it as "long non-coding RNA (VRAD_LNC010116)". Lineage: Eukaryota; Viridiplantae; Streptophyta; Magnoliopsida; Fabales; Fabaceae. The record is from RNAcentral.